Molecule: ribosomal RNA, 19 nt
Filed under: Sarcinomyces sp. SL-2011
Lineage: Eukaryota; Fungi; Ascomycota; Eurotiomycetes; Chaetothyriales
Description: partial 18S ribosomal RNA
Source: RNAcentral
CCUGUGUCUAUUGUUACCU